This 253-nucleotide ribosomal RNA is filed under the name uncultured bacterium. Its description in RNAcentral is "partial 16S ribosomal RNA". It matches the Rfam family "Bacterial small subunit ribosomal RNA", at positions 524 to 776 of the family's 1533-position model. The record is from RNAcentral.
UACGAAGGGGGCUAGCGUUACUCGGAAUUAUUGGGCGUAAAGCGUGCGUAGGCGGCUUAGUAAGUUGAGAGUGAAAGCCCAGGGCUUAACCCUGGAAUUGCUUUCAAAACUGUUAAGCUAGAGUCUUGGAGGGGAUGGCAGAAUUCCUAGUGUAGAGGUGAAAUUCGUAGAUAUUAGGAGGAAUACCAGAAGCGAAAGCGGCCAUCUGGACAAGUACUGACGCUGUUGCACGAAAGCGUGGGGAGCAAACAGG